This 460-nucleotide ribosomal RNA is filed under the name uncultured bacterium. Its description in RNAcentral is "partial 16S ribosomal RNA". It matches the Rfam family "Bacterial small subunit ribosomal RNA", at positions 338 to 795 of the family's 1533-position model. The record is from RNAcentral.
CCUACGGGUGGCAGCAGUGAGGAAUAUUGGUCAAUGGACGAGAGUCUGAACCAGCCAAGCAGCGUGAAGGAUGACUGCCCUAUGGGUUGUAAACUUCUUUUAUAUGGGAAUAAAGUGUUCCACGUGUGGGCUUUUGUAUGUACCAUAUGAAUAAGGAUCGGCUAACUCCGUGCCAGCAGCCGCGGUAAUACGGAGGAUCCGAGCGUUAUCCGGAUUUAUUGGGUUUAAAGGGAGCGUAGGUGGAUUGUUAAGUCAGUUGUGAAAGUUUGCGGCUCAACCGUAAAAUUGCAGUUGAAACUGGCAGUCUUGAGUACAGUAGAGGUGGGCGGAAUUCGUGGUGUAGCGGUGAAAUGCUUAGAUAUCACGAAGAACUCCGAUUGCGAAGGCAGCUCACUGGACUGCAACUGACACUGAGGCUCGAAAGUGUGGGUAUCAAACAGGAUUAGAUACCCUAGUAGUC